Molecule: long non-coding RNA, 210 nt
Filed under: Lathyrus oleraceus (garden pea)
Lineage: Eukaryota; Viridiplantae; Streptophyta; Magnoliopsida; Fabales; Fabaceae
Description: Pisum sativum (pea) long non-coding RNA (PSAT_LNC017898)
Source: RNAcentral
AACUAAUGACCCAAAACUUAAAUAAAACUAAUACUGCAACUUCAACGAAUUUUCUGGCCCUGUUACACUCUGAUUCAGCUCUCGACUUCUGAACAAAAGUUGUAGGUCUUUUUCUUAGCUUUCCAUCGACUGGUAGCACGUCUCAAUCCGAUACUCCUAGCUCAAGAUAUGAUUUUUCUCGCGAAAGCUGCUAAUGCUGAAAAUUAAAUA